RNAcentral lists this ribosomal RNA (490 nucleotides) under uncultured bacterium. RNAcentral describes it as "partial 16S ribosomal RNA". It matches the Rfam family "Bacterial small subunit ribosomal RNA", at positions 30 to 507 of the family's 1533-position model. The record is from RNAcentral.
AUUGAACGCUGGCGGCAGGCCUAACACAUGCAAGUCGAGCGGUAGCACAGGGGAGCUUGCUCCCUGGGUGACGAGCGGCGGACGGGUGAGUGAUGUCUGGGAAACUGCCUGAUGGAGGGGGAGAACCACUGGAAACGGUAGCUAAUACCGCAUAACGUCCCAAGACCAAAGAGGGGGACCUUCUGGCCUCUUGCCAUCAGAUGUGCCCAGAUGGGAUUAGCUAGAAGGUGGGGUAAUGGCUCACCUAGGCGACGCUCCCUAGCUGGUCUGAGAGGAUGACCAGCCACACUGGAAGUGAGACACGGUCCAGACUCCUACGGGAGGCAGCAGUGGGGAAUAUUGCACAAUGGGCGCAAGCCUGAUGCAGCCAUACCGCGUGUGUGAAGAAGGCCUUCGGGUUGUAAAGCACUUUCGGCGAGAAGGAAGGUGGUGAGCUUAAUACGCUCAUCUAUUGACGGUACUCGCAGAAGAAGCACCGGCUAACUCCGUG